This 253-nucleotide ribosomal RNA is filed under the name uncultured bacterium. RNAcentral describes it as "partial 16S ribosomal RNA". It matches the Rfam family "Bacterial small subunit ribosomal RNA", at positions 524 to 776 of the family's 1533-position model. The record is from RNAcentral.
UACGGGGGGGGCAAGCGUUGUUCGGAAUUACUGGGCGUAAAGGGCUCGUAGGCGGCCAACUAAGUCAUACGUGAAAUCCCUCGGCUUAACCGGGGAACUGCGUCUGAUACUGGAUGGCUUGAGUUCGGGAGAGGGAUGCGGAAUUCCCGGUGUAGUGGUGGAAUGCGUAGAGAUCGGGAGGAAUACCAGUGGCGAAGGCGGCUCUCUGGUACGUGACUGACGCUGAGACGCGAAAGCGUGGGGAGCAAACAGG